UUAAGUUCAGCGGGUAGUCCCACCCGAUUUGAGGUCAAAUGUUCAAAAUUGUCUCGAAGGACGGUUGGAAGCACAAGACGCCCCGAGCGCCCACGUCUCGGUGAGUGAAUUAUCACACCUGUGAGGCACAUCGAGGAUUGCACUGAUGCAUUUGAGGAGGGCCGACACGAUCGGCGACUCCCAAGUCCACGUUCAGAUCG
This 200-nucleotide unclassified non-coding RNA is filed under the name Sebacinales sp. Its description in RNAcentral is "partial internal transcribed spacer 2". Lineage: Eukaryota; Fungi; Basidiomycota; Agaricomycetes; Sebacinales. The record is from RNAcentral.